This 204-nucleotide long non-coding RNA is filed under the name Elaeis guineensis (African oil palm). RNAcentral's name for it is "long non-coding RNA (EGUI_LNC061281)". Lineage: Eukaryota; Viridiplantae; Streptophyta; Magnoliopsida; Arecales; Arecaceae. The record is from RNAcentral.
GAGCCUUGUGGAGAUUAUUUUUCCAUCUGAUCAUCUUCUUUAGAAAGUAUAAUUUUUAUCCUAUUAUAUGCUUGAAUGAUUUGAUUGGAGUCUACAAGGUGAUUUUAGAAUUUGAGUUUUGGUAUACUGGUUUUAAGUGUUAAAACUCUUUUUAUGCAUGUUGAAAAAUUUUGAAAUCUAUAUUUCACUGCAUGAUUGGAACCC